Molecule: long non-coding RNA, 507 nt
Filed under: Pan troglodytes (chimpanzee)
Lineage: Eukaryota; Metazoa; Chordata; Mammalia; Primates; Hominidae
Description: lincRNA
Source: RNAcentral
GUCUCAGCCUGGUUCUUCCUUGUUCCUCGUCCUCUGAGGUAGCAACUGCCUCAUCUUUUCCAUCUAUGGAGUGUGGAAUAUGUGCCCUACUUCAUUCAGGAAUGUUGGACAAACCGGCUAUUUAGAGAGUGAAGGAGAGGAACUUCCGAGAGCAACCGGCCCCCAAGAGAAACCCAGGGACUCCUGCCCUUCGGCAGCUUUGUCCAUGUGCUGCUCACACCAAAAAGCACUCGAGGGUGACCUGCACCAAAAAUGCAUUGCCGUAGUCUGGGCAUAGUGGAUCACGCCUGUAAUCCCAGCUCUUUGGGAGGGCAAGGCACUGUGCUAAGUUGGACUUACAGAGAUGAAUAAGAUUUGGCCACAUCUUCAAGGAGCUCAGACCUUCAUGGACAUACCAAAUAUAUACAGAACUAACUCUACUGCUUAUCAUAAUGAGAGCUGUGCUAUGGAUAUUUGAAAGUUAGAGAGAUUUAUUUUCAACAGAAUAAUAAAGUCAACUUUCACAAA